ACGGCCAGUCAGGCCCUGUGUUCCGAGUUCUAGUCUCCAGGCCCCAAAAGGAGAUUAACUGCUAAGACAACCUUCUCCUUGCCUCCAUUACGGCCAGCCAGGCCCUGCGUUUUCCAGGCCCCAAAAGGAGACUCUUGAAAUAUGAACCCCUUCUGAGGACUGCACUCAGCCAACACGUCUCAGAGGAUACUUGUUGGAA
Molecule: long non-coding RNA, 199 nt
Organism: Myotis myotis
Lineage: Eukaryota; Metazoa; Chordata; Mammalia; Chiroptera; Vespertilionidae
Exons: 3
Source: RefSeq, a predicted model, not a curated record